Molecule: ribosomal RNA, 1542 nt
Filed under: Escherichia coli
Lineage: Bacteria; Pseudomonadati; Pseudomonadota; Gammaproteobacteria; Enterobacterales; Enterobacteriaceae
Also listed under: 4 other names
Description: bacterial SSU rRNA
Rfam family: Bacterial small subunit ribosomal RNA
Source: RNAcentral
AAAUUGAAGAGUUUGAUCAUGGCUCAGAUUGAACGCUGGCGGCAGGCCUAACACAUGCAAGUCGAACGGUAACAGGAAACAGCUUGCUGUUUCGCUGACGAGUGGCGGACGGGUGAGUAAUGUCUGGGAAACUGCCCGAUGGAGGGGGAUAACUACUGGAAACGGUAGCUAAUACCGCAUAACGUCGCAAGACCAAAGAGGGGGACCUUCGGGCCUCUUGCCAUCGGAUGUGCCCAGAUGGGAUUAGCUAGUAGGUGGGGUAACGGCUCACCUAGGCGACGAUCCCUAGCUGGUCUGAGAGGAUGACCAGCCACACUGGAACUGAGACACGGUCCAGACUCCUACGGGAGGCAGCAGUGGGGAAUAUUGCACAAUGGGCGCAAGCCUGAUGCAGCCAUGCCGCGUGUAUGAAGAAGGCCUUCGGGUUGUAAAGUACUUUCAGCGGGGAGGAAGGGAGUAAAGUUAAUACCUUUGCUCAUUGACGUUACCCGCAGAAGAAGCACCGGCUAACUCCGUGCCAGCAGCCGCGGUAAUACGGAGGGUGCAAGCGUUAAUCGGAAUUACUGGGCGUAAAGCGCACGCAGGCGGUUUGUUAAGUCAGAUGUGAAAUCCCCGGGCUCAACCUGGGAACUGCAUCUGAUACUGGCAAGCUUGAGUCUCGUAGAGGGGGGUAGAAUUCCAGGUGUAGCGGUGAAAUGCGUAGAGAUCUGGAGGAAUACCGGUGGCGAAGGCGGCCCCCUGGACGAAGACUGACGCUCAGGUGCGAAAGCGUGGGGAGCAAACAGGAUUAGAUACCCUGGUAGUCCACGCCGUAAACGAUGUCGACUUGGAGGUUGUGCCCUUGAGGCGUGGCUUCCGGAGCUAACGCGUUAAGUCGACCGCCUGGGGAGUACGGCCGCAAGGUUAAAACUCAAAUGAAUUGACGGGGGCCCGCACAAGCGGUGGAGCAUGUGGUUUAAUUCGAUGCAACGCGAAGAACCUUACCUGGUCUUGACAUCCACGGAAGUUUUCAGAGAUGAGAAUGUGCCUUCGGGAACCGUGAGACAGGUGCUGCAUGGCUGUCGUCAGCUCGUGUUGUGAAAUGUUGGGUUAAGUCCCGCAACGAGCGCAACCCUUAUCCUUUGUUGCCAGCGGUCCGGCCGGGAACUCAAAGGAGACUGCCAGUGAUAAACUGGAGGAAGGUGGGGAUGACGUCAAGUCAUCAUGGCCCUUACGACCAGGGCUACACACGUGCUACAAUGGCGCAUACAAAGAGAAGCGACCUCGCGAGAGCAAGCGGACCUCAUAAAGUGCGUCGUAGUCCGGAUUGGAGUCUGCAACUCGACUCCAUGAAGUCGGAAUCGCUAGUAAUCGUGGAUCAGAAUGCCACGGUGAAUACGUUCCCGGGCCUUGUACACACCGCCCGUCACACCAUGGGAGUGGGUUGCAAAAGAAGUAGGUAGCUUAACCUUCGGGAGGGCGCUUACCACUUUGUGAUUCAUGACUGGGGUGAAGUCGUAACAAGGUAACCGUAGGGGAACCUGCGGUUGGAUCACCUCCUUA